RNAcentral lists this ribosomal RNA (800 nucleotides) under bacterium. RNAcentral describes it as "bacterial SSU rRNA". It matches the Rfam family "Bacterial small subunit ribosomal RNA", at positions 112 to 924 of the family's 1533-position model. The record is from RNAcentral.
AACACGUGGGCAAUCUGCCCUGCACUCUGGGACAAGCCCUGGAAACGGGGUCUAAUACCGGAUAUGACCGCUGACCGCAUGGUUGGUGGUGGAAAGCUCCGGCGGUGCAGGAUGAGCCCGCGGCCUAUCAGCUUGUUGGUGGGGUGAUGGCCUACCAAGGCGACGACGGGUAGCCGGCCUGAGAGGGCGACCGGCCACACUGGGACUGAGACACGGCCCAGACUCCUACGGGAGGCAGCAGUGGGGAAUAUUGCACAAUGGGCGAAAGCCUGAUGCAGCGACGCCGCGUGAGGGAUGACGGCCUUCGGGUUGUAAACCUCUUUCAGCAGGGAAGAAGCGAGAGUGACGGUACCUGCAGAAGAAGCGCCGGCUAACUACGUGCCAGCAGCCGCGGUAAUACGUAGGGCGCAAGCGUUGUCCGGAAUUAUUGGGCGUAAAGAGCUCGUAGGCGGCUUGUCGCGUCGGAUGUGAAAGCCCGGGGCUUAACCCCGGGUCUGCAUUCGAUACGGGCAGGCUAGAGUUCGGUAGGGGAGAUCGGAAUUCCUGGUGUAGCGGUGAAAUGCGCAGAUAUCAGGAGGAACACCGGUGGCGAAGGCGGAUCUCUGGGCCGAUACUGACGCUGAGGAGCGAAAGCGUGGGGAGCGAACAGGAUUAGAUACCCUGGUAGUCCACGCCGUAAACGUUGGGAACUAGGUGUGGGCGACAUUCCACGUCGUCCGUGCCGCAGCUAACGCAUUAAGUUCCCCGCCUGGGGAGUACGGCCGCAAGGCUAAAACUCAAAGGAAUUGACGGGGGCCCGC